This 306-nucleotide ribosomal RNA is filed under the name uncultured Parcubacteria group bacterium. RNAcentral's name for it is "bacterial SSU rRNA". It matches the Rfam family "Bacterial small subunit ribosomal RNA", at positions 28 to 351 of the family's 1533-position model. The record is from RNAcentral.
GAUGAACGCUGGCGGCGUGUCUAAGGCAUGCAAGUCGAGUGGGUUCAGACCCACGGCAAACGGGAGCGUAACACAUUGGUAACCUGCCCUCAACCGGAGGAUAACCCAUCGAAAGGUGGGAUAAUACUCCAUUAAUUGGAGAGACGCAUGUCUUUUCAAUAAAGAUUUAUCGGUUGAGGAGGGGCCUAUGGUCUAUCAGCUAGUUGGCAGUGUAAAGGACUACCAAGGCUAUGACGGAUAGCGGGUGUGAGAGCACGACCCGCCUCACUGGGACUGAGAAACUGCCCAGACACCUACGGGAGGCUG